RNAcentral lists this small RNA (907 nucleotides) under Malus domestica (apple). Its description in RNAcentral is "sRNA MD17G0194800". Lineage: Eukaryota; Viridiplantae; Streptophyta; Magnoliopsida; Rosales; Rosaceae. The record is from RNAcentral.
ACGACAGCACCGAUCUGGCACCGAGUAACGCCUAACGCCUAUCUGGGGACAUUAAAACGUCCCUUGAGCGCGUAGGCAAAGCGCAGAAAAAGGGACCUCUCAUCACAUCUCAUAUCUCCCUUCUUCUCCCUAACCUCCACCGAAAUACCUUCGCACAAUAAAAGGGAGGAGAAGAAGACGACGACGACGACGACGACGACGACGACUGAGGAGACCCAACAGACACGGCAACAUAAAUAAAAGAAAAUUUGUGAUCGAGUCAUCUAUUGUCUGAGGAAGGUCCGUACAUACUGUACAAUGGUUCUUGAGAGCAUUUUGUCUUCUCCUGGGAAGAUAUAUGAAGUGAAGAAAGGUUGAACAAGGAUUGGGAGCAUUGAAGGACAAUGUUUGAAGCAAAAACACUUUUGUCUAGCGAGCAACGUUUUAAAAGACACAUGUCUAGCAACCCUCUAUCAGAUUUGUGAUUCUGCCGUGGAGAAUGUUUCGCAUGUUUUCUCAAGCUGUUAUGCUGCUAUAUGGACUCAAAGAGAGAUUCUUUUCGUCAUCAUCUUCAUUGGAACCAAUUUGAUUCCUUUCUUGGUUGUGUGGAGGCAAAUUUAAAAUGCAAAGAUUCGCGUUGUUUUGGGUUAUCUUGGAAUCUUGUUUUUGUUGUAGCCUUAUGGUUCAUACGCAGGUGGAGAUGUUGUGUUAUAUUUUGUCCUAAUUUUGCUAAGCCUACUGAUCCAAAAAAAAGCAUUUUGGAGUAUUCUAAAGAAUGGCUUAAAUAAUGUUAGCCUUUCUAGUAAACACAAUUGUGUGCAAGUUCUUUUGGCUUGGGUUCCUCCUCCGUCUGAGACCUUUUAAGUUAAAUGUGGUUUCUCUCAUUCAUGGUUCUCUAGCUUUAAUCAUCCUCUCUAUGGUCUUGUCU